GAUCUUUUUUUUUUUUUUUUUUUUUAAGACUGGAAGAGGGACCUUGCAAAAUAGAAUUUAGCUUGAAGGAGAAAAUAAGAACAGGGUAAACAGAAUGCUUACAACAGAAAGACUGAUUUGCUGUUAACAUACUGGAGGGAAGAGUGAUUACUCUGGAGAAAUACUACUUCACAUUUGAAAUAUUUGACAUCAUGAAAACACGGACAAAAGGAGUCUUCUUAGCGAUUAUGCUAACCAAAAAGAUGAUGACUUAUUUUCACUGCAUUCCGGCAGAGAACUACCACCUUCUCCAUGGAGAGACUGGACUGUUGGACUCAAGAGUCAUAUUACUUCAUUCUUUUUUUCCUGGGACAUUCACAAAUGACAACAGAUGGAUUCAAAUUGGCUGCUUGGCCAAAGAAGGGAAGAGGAAUUUACUCGGAUUCACUCCACUUCUUGUACAAUCCCUCCCUGACUUACGAACCAAUUCAAUUAAGCAAACCUAAAUUAAGCACUUAUUACUACUUGCCCCCUACUUUAUGCAGGGCACAGUGUUAAGUGAGCUGUAGAUACAAAGAUGUGCAGUAAGAAGUUUCAGCCUACAAAGAGUUUGCUCUCUGGUGAAGAGUCAGGCCUAUAUACACAAACAACCAUGAUACGAAUGGCUAAGAGUAUUUACUUUUUCCUACAAUUACCUCAUCUAAAGAUAUAAACUCCAUGUCAUGUAUCAGGAAGGCAUCGCUUUGGCACAAGUAACUGAAAGUCUAAUUCAAAAAGGAAUUCACUGACUUACAGAAAGUCUAUAAUUAGAUUUUCAGUCUGCGCCUGGUCCAGAAUCUAGUUUCUUUCUCACCAUUUUUUGGUUCUACUUCCUCAGCUUAAAUUCAUCCUUGGGUAGUCUUUUUCAUUUGUGGUUCCAGGACAGCUACAAGUGUCUUUUGCAGCUGCAAACGUCCUUGUUCCUAUGUAGUAGGAAUGAAAGGUUAUGAAUGGCAGGUCCUUCAAAUCAGCCUCAGUGGCCAUGUUGGUUUGAUUUGGACCAUUAAUUCAUCCUUGAACCAGGUUGACUGUAGUCAGAGGUUUGGGAUUGGCCACUGCGCUUGGGACAACAAAUGAAAAAGGACCCUGUUCUGCAGCUGAAGGCAAGGUACCAUGCAAACUACAUGGAUGAAAAAUUUAAGGUCUUAUUUAGGAAGGGGACAGUAUGAGAAUGGAUUCCAGGGAAGUAAGUACAAAUACUCUCCCUACCCCAUGCUUUUGUCUUUAUUAAGCAUUUCUGAAAGACACCAGCACUCUUGUAGUUGUGCACAGUCAACUAUUUAACAGCUGGCUCUAUGGGAGAAAAAAGCUCUUUGUAGCAUUUGCUGAUUUCCAUGGUGUGAAUACACUCACCAUGCCUGGAUCACUGAAUACAGACAGAGUUAGGAAGAUGCGUGCAAUGACACACCAUUAUAUAGCAUUUCCAUUAUACAGAUACAUUAGAUACAGAUAACCCCAAGAGCAAAGAAAAUAGUAAUUUCAAAGUGAUGAGUUUUACAUAUGCAUUCCCUUUAUUUUAAUAUAAUUUAUUUAACUGCAAGUAUAAAUAACAUAAUUUUCAAUAAUGACUGUUUAACAACUGACUUGCAAAAUUCCUAAAAACCUAACAAUUAGUUCUCACGAGCCAGUACUAGUUACCUCCAGCACACCAUGGCCUUUUGCACUAAACACUUCAUCUUGUUCAUUUUUAAAAAGUUGUUUAUUUAUAAGGUCUUCAUAUGUGCACAAUCCCGUCUUGGGCUGAUCUACUAGAGUCAGAGUUAAGGUGGGCUUCUAAUGAUUGGCCUGAAGUAAAUGGAGCCAGAGGAAAUGUCCAAACCCAGAUAUACAGGACGGAGAACUUGGAGAAGUAAAAUCGAGAAGUACGAUCCGCUGAUAGGGACAAUAGUUGAGUUUUCAGUCCUAGGGCUGAAAACUAGAGAUGAAGUCAAAGGGCAGGAACUGGAUAAAAUUAAGAAUAAAGGAGGACCCCAGCAGCAGUGGCCGGAGUCAUAUGAGGGAAUUGAAGCUCACGGAGGUAUAUAACUUGCCCUUGGUCAUAAAACUGGCAAAUUGAGGAACUGAGAUUUUAACACAACUCUACCUGAUAGAGGACCCAAGCUCCUUACCACUGUGCUAUCCUUGCUUUGGGGACUGGAAUGAAGGAGUCCAAAGCUGCUUUAAAGUUAGUAUGGCUCUCCAAAAUCACUUUUACAUUAUUUUUGUUCUAAACUAUUUGCUUGCUCUUCAAGCAAACUUCACUGUAUGAUUUAGAGUAAGUAUUCGCUAUACAUUUGUAGAAUGAAUAAAAGCUGUUAUAAUCUGUUCUGAGUAUUGAAUGUCCAUAAUAUACCAAAGUUAUGUUAUGGGAAAAUACAACUGUUGAGAAAAGACUUGUAACGGGAACUUACUUUCAUAAAGAUGCAUGUAAAAGUCCAGAUAGUUUGGAUAACUCUCCAGGCUCCAACAGUGUUAUCCAUUACUGCUAUAUUAAAAUGUAUUAAAUACCACUUAAAGGGUAUUGACAGUCAACAAAUAAUAGACCACUUUGUGAUCAUCCUUAUUUUGAAUACAUAUUUUUUUCUGUUUGGCUAUUAUACCAAAGGCAAUGAGCAUAGAUUCUCAUGCUCAAAAGGGAGUGGGUUGGGCGAAGGAGAAGAGCAGAGUGAAAGGGAGAUCCACAUUCACCUGUCGGAGAACAUCCAUUUCUGGGAGUCCAGGUGGAAAGGUAGAAUUGAUUGGUUUAGAGAAAAGAGGCCUAUCAGGUAGAAUUAAUAUUGCUUCUUAUUAUUUUAAUUGAACCUUUCAAUAUAGGUCUAUCUCAAGAGUAUUAGCAAAGUAUGAAUGAUAUGUGAUAAAAGAAUAAAUUUCUUUCUUUAAUGGACAUCAAAUAAAGCAGAAUAUAAAUAACAUCCUUUAUGUGGUCCAUUUGCUACAGCAAGUAUUAGAAUAGAAUUGUCAGAAAUGUCCUGCCCAGGUCUUGCCUGACGGGGGCCAAGGGCUGAACCCCACAGAAUGUGACCUUAAGAGGCAAUAUAUUGGUCUUUGGAAGAGAAUUCUUGAAGAACUCUUUGGUCCUGGAAAUUCACAUUGAAAGCCAUCCCUUCCAGCUGCUGAAGUGACUAUGGAAGCGUGUAUUAAGGUGGAGCCUCUUUCAGCCUGUUUCUUCCAGUGAUGCAAUGAGCAGAAGCCACUGCCAAGCCAACUAGACAC
Mirounga angustirostris (Northern elephant seal) is the source of this 3210-nucleotide long non-coding RNA. RefSeq lists it as uncharacterized. Lineage: Eukaryota; Metazoa; Chordata; Mammalia; Carnivora; Phocidae. The record is from RefSeq and is a predicted model, not a curated record. The transcript has 3 exons.